This 485-nucleotide long non-coding RNA is filed under the name Phoenix dactylifera (date palm). RNAcentral's name for it is "long non-coding RNA (PDAC_LNC008027)". Lineage: Eukaryota; Viridiplantae; Streptophyta; Magnoliopsida; Arecales; Arecaceae. The record is from RNAcentral.
GAGUUGUUGAUUCUGUUGUGCUUUAAAAAAAAUUUAUUGUUACCUCUCAAUCCCAACAACUUCUAGGAGUCACCGUUUGAUGUUCAUACGAAAUUCGUUAAAUCAGGGUUUUUUCCUUAGAAUCUUGUCUUAUGGGAACAUAUAUCUCACUGACAUCUAUAACUUACUGUUUACAUCUAACAGCUCAAGUCUGACAGUCUUUUAACCUGUUUUUAGUGCUAUCUAAAUUGAUCAUGAUGUCUAACAAUGGCAACUUUGUCAGAAUAACAUCUGCCAUCAAACCUAAAAGCCCGGUUGGGACAGAUACCAGUGUUAUUGGUUAUGCAGUUUUGCCUCUAAUUUUUCUCUCUACAAAUUUGUAUUGUGUUUAAUGGCAUGACUAUGACAGGACAAUGAGCGGUGCAUGCGAAGUUUUCUAAGCUAUCCGCCACUUGGUUCCCCACCCUAUAGAUAUGAGUAAUCUUUAUCUUUAUUGGAGCCUCAAA